GCGGGAGUAGCUCAGGGGUAGAGCAUCAGCCUUCCAAGCUGAGGGUCGCGGGUUCGAAUCCCGUUUCCCGCUCCA
RNAcentral lists this transfer RNA (75 nucleotides) under Acidobacteriota bacterium. RNAcentral describes it as "tRNA-Gly". It matches the Rfam family "tRNA". Rfam says of the family: Transfer RNA (tRNA) molecules are approximately 80 nucleotides in length. Their secondary structure includes four short double-helical elements and three loops (D, anti-codon, and T loops). Lineage: Bacteria; Pseudomonadati; Acidobacteriota. The record is from RNAcentral. RNAcentral also lists the same sequence under 6 other names.